CACAAUGCAUUGUCCAGGCCCAGAAAGUGUUUACCUUUGUGUAACAAAUGUAACAAGCUUUGGGAUUGGAUUGGAUUGGAUUGUACUAUAAAGAAAAGGAGGUGAGUGGUGGUAAUGUAGAACCUGGCAGUGCAGUGCCAAAAAGGAUGUCAGUGUCAGAUUGCAGAGAGUCUCUAAGAAAUGUGGUAGGACUUUGUCAUAGAGCUGCAAAGUCACGUGACAGCCAUGUGACCAUUGAAGAGAAACCAUGA
Molecule: long non-coding RNA, 251 nt
Filed under: Prunus dulcis (almond)
Lineage: Eukaryota; Viridiplantae; Streptophyta; Magnoliopsida; Rosales; Rosaceae
Description: sRNA ncRNA
Source: RNAcentral